This is a long non-coding RNA of Oncorhynchus tshawytscha (Chinook salmon), 1234 nucleotides long. Lineage: Eukaryota; Metazoa; Chordata; Actinopteri; Salmoniformes; Salmonidae. The record is from Ensembl.
CAUGGCAACCCCAAAUGCCGCCGCCUGUGGGUUAGUCAUGUUGGUGGUGGGUUGGUUGCUUCUGGUUACAGUUGCGUUGGUUAACAACACCGCCUUGGUUACCCGUAGUUACCCAUUGAUGAUUUCUAAUUUGGACUGUGCCGUAUAUAUAUUGUCCUGGUCAUAGCAGGGUUGUCAGUGAGAUCCCUAGUCAGCUGUCAUGGUUGUCAUGAAGAUAGAGUAUGGAACCUCAGUUAUGAGGUUAGACUUUCACACGGAGGACAGGAGGAUACCUAGUCAGUUGUCAUGGAGAUACCUAGUCAGUUGUCAUGGAGAUACGGUGUGGAACCUCAGCUAUGAGGUUAGACUUUCACACGGAGGACAGGAGGAUACCUAGUCAGUUGUCAUGGAGAUACCUAGUCAGUUGUCAUGGAGAUACGGUGUGGAACCUCAGCUAUGAGGUUAGACUUUCACACGGAGGACAGGAGGAUAACUAAUCAGUUGUACAACUGAAUGCAUUCAACUGAAAUAUGUCUUCCACAUUUAACCCAAACCCCUUCUGAAUCAGCUUUAGCGUCUCGGGGGGAACUUUGGUCUGCUUUCCCUGAAGCUGGAGAGCCCGAGUGGGGUUUUACAGAGCUAGCCAGACAGAGCUAGCCAGACAUGGCUGCCAGACAGAGUUAGCCAGACAGAGCUAGCCAGACAUGGCUGCCAGACAUGGCUAGCCAGACAGACUACUAAAUAGGGUUGCAACAUUUCCGGGAAACUUUUCCAUAAUUCCCUGGUUUUCCAGGAAUCUUGGUUGGAGGAUUCCCGGAUGUCCAGCUAAUUCCCCCGUAAAUUCAAGGGAUCUUCUAACCAGGAUUUCUGGAAAACCAGGGAAUUUUGGGGAAGUUACCGUAAUUUUGCAACCUUAAGAAAAACAUAUGGAGAAUGUUUAGGAAUGGGCAGUUAUAGAGGACAGGAGGUUUAGUAAUGGGUAGUUAUAGAGGACAGGAGGUUUAGUAAUGGGUAGUUAUAGAGGACAGGAGGUUUAGUAAUGGGCAGUUAUAGAGGACAGGAGGUUUAGUAAUGGGCAGUCGUACAUAUAUCCUUGUGUUUCUGCCUAAACGUGCUGAUUAGGAAUAGAGGACAGGAGAUUUAGUAAUGGGUAGUUAUAGAGGACAGGAGGUUUAGUAAUGGGCAGUUAUGGAGGACAGGAGGUUAUAGAGGACAGGAGGUUUAGUAAUGGGUAGUUAUAGAGGACAGGAGGGUU